This 469-nucleotide ribosomal RNA is filed under the name uncultured bacterium. Its description in RNAcentral is "bacterial SSU rRNA". It matches the Rfam family "Bacterial small subunit ribosomal RNA", at positions 34 to 498 of the family's 1533-position model. The record is from RNAcentral.
CGCUGGCGGCAUGCUUUACACAUGCAAGUCGAACGGCAGCACGGGGGCAACCCUGGUGGCGAGUGGCGAACGGGUGAGUAAUAUAUCGGAACGUACCCAGGAGUGGGGGAUAACGUAGCGAAAGUUACGCUAAUACCGCAUACGACCUACGGGUGAAAGUGGGGGACCGCAAGACCUCAUGCUCAUGGAGCGGCCGAUAUCUGAUUAGCUAGUUGGUGGGGUAAAGGCUCACCAAGGCAACGAUCAGUAGCUGGUCUGAGAGGACGACCAGCCACACUGGAACUGAGACACGGUCCAGACUCCUACGGGAGGCAGCAGUGGGGAAUUUUGGACAAUGGGGGCAACCCUGAUCCAGCAAUGCCGCGUGAGUGAAGAAGGCCUUCGGGUUGUAAAGCUCUUUUGUCAGGGAAGAAACGACCCCUUCUAAUACAGGGGGUUAAUGACGGUACCUGAAGAAUAAGCCCCGGCU